AAGAUGAUGAGAUUAAAAUGCAAGUAAGAUAAAAUUUCUAGAUUAAUAAACAUAACUGGAAUUAAAUUUUUCAGAUUUUAAUAAUGAUGGUUGACAUGAUUUCAAACCCUUUUCUGGUUUUAUCUCCCUUCUGAGAAUAAACUUCUUCAUCUAGGAAAUCCAGAUAUAGAGCUUUCUUUUGAACAGGCUGAAGUAAAGCAUCCUUAGGAGCAGAAAAGGAAUCUUUCCUUCUUUUAUCUGAUUCAAAUAUAGAGGUGCUGGCAAAGCGCCUGCAUUUGACCUCGCCUACGGAAUGAAGAAAUCUAUUCAUCUAUUAGUUUUUAAUGGACGAAAUAGGAGUGAACAAGAAAACUUAUUUUCAUGCUUUUAAAUUGUUAAAUUUAUUUCUUAAUUUCAUCUUAAACAAAAAAUAACAAACUUCUUUGAAAUGUAUUUAGGAUAUCGCUUAUU
Centruroides sculpturatus (bark scorpion) is the source of this 450-nucleotide long non-coding RNA. RefSeq lists it as uncharacterized. The transcript is spliced from 3 exons. NCBI's taxonomy places the organism in Eukaryota, Metazoa, Arthropoda, Arachnida, Scorpiones, Buthidae. The record is from RefSeq and is a predicted model, not a curated record.